This is a non-coding RNA of Prunus avium (sweet cherry), 1603 nucleotides long. NCBI's taxonomy places the organism in Eukaryota, Viridiplantae, Streptophyta, Magnoliopsida, Rosales, Rosaceae. The record is from RefSeq and is a predicted model, not a curated record.
AUUAUGGACUACAAGCAUAACAUUCGCAAUAUGUCCGUUAUUGCACAUGUUGAUCAUGGGAAGUCAACCCUUACCGACUCUCUUGUUGCUGCUGCUGGUAUCAUUGCACAAGAAGUUGCUGGUGAUGUCCGGAUGACAGAUACCCGUGCAGAUGAGGCAGAGCGUGGUAUCACAAUCAAUCUACUGGUAUCUCUCUCUACUAUGAGAUGACUGAUGAAGCUUUGAAGAGCUACAAGGGGGAGAGAAACGGAAAUGAGUACCUCAUCAAUCUCAUUGAUUCCCCUGGGCACGUUGACUUUUCAUCUGAAGUCACGGCUGCUCUUCGUGUUACUGAUGGUGCACUUGUGGUGAUUGAUUGCAUUGAGGUGUCUGUAUCCAAACAGAGACUCUGCUUCGUCAAGCCUCAGGAGAAAGGAUCAGGCCUGUGUUGACUGUUAACAAGACGGACAGGUGCUUCCUUGAGCUCCAGGUCGAUGGAGAGGAGGCUUACCAAGCAUUCCAGAGGGUUAUUGAGAAUGCUAAUGUCAUUAUGGCUACAUACGAAGACCCCCUUCUUGGUGAUGUCCAGGUCUAUCCAGAGAAAGGAACAGUUGCCUUUUCAGCUGGUUUGCACGGAUGGGCUUUUACUUUGACCAACUUUGCCAAGAUGUAUGCAUCCAAGUUUGGAGUUGAUGAAUCAAAGAUGAUGGAAAGGCUCUGGGGAGAGAACUACUUUGACCCAGCUACCAAGAAAUGGACCGGCAAGAACACUGGUUCUGCUACCUGCAAGCGUGGUUUCGUUCAGUUCUGUUAUGAACCCAUCAAGCAGAUUAUCAACACCUGCAUGAAUGAUCAGAAGGACAAGUUGUGGCCCAUGUUGACAAAGCUUGGUGUCACGAUGAAGAGUGAUGAAAAGGACCUGAUGGGGAAGGCGUUGAUGAAGCGUGUCAUGCAGACCUGGCUACCAGCCAGCAGUGCCCUAUUGGAAAUGAUGAUCUUUCACCUUCCCUCUCCUUCAACUGCCCAGAGAUACCGUGUUGAGAACUUGUACGAGGGUCCCCUUGAUGAUCAAUAUGCAAAUGCUAUCAGGAACUGUGAUCCCGAAGGGCCUCUUAUGCUCUAUGUAUCUAAGAUGAUUCCCGCAUCUGACAAGGGUCGAUUCCAAUUUCUGACUGUGGCCUACUCUCCACAGCAAAAUGGAGUUGCUGAGAGGAAGAAUAGGACUAUUGCAGAGAUGAACAAAGCUAUGAUGAAUGAGAAGAAAUUACCUUUCAAAUUUUUGGGGGAGGCAGUGAACACAGCUGUCUACAUUCUGAACAGAUGCCCCACAAAAGCCUUGGAUAAUCUAACUCCUUUUGAAGUUUUCAGUGGCAGAAAGCCAGGUGUGAAGCACUUAAGAGUGUUUGGUUCUGUCUGUUUCUGUCAUGUGCCUAACCAAUUGAGAUCUAAACUGGAAGAUGCAGAUGUGAAGUGUAAAUUUGUUGGGUAUGAUGGCAAAUGUGAAAAGGGCUACAGAGUAUACAACCUGCAGACCAAUAAGAUAACCGUGUCUAGAAGUGUCAUUUUUAUGAAGGCGCAUUAUGGGAUUGGGACAAACAGGCUAUUGAGUUCCAAUGAGCUUUGA